UUGAACCAACAUAAAAAAUAACAAUGAACAUAUUUUUAAAUAAUUCUUGGUGGUGGAACUUUCGAAACUAAAAUUCGUGAAGAAACCCGAGUAUAUUUAAAACUUAAAAUAUCCAAAAGGCUUGUC
Molecule: regulatory RNA element, 126 nt
Organism: Algibacter lectus
Lineage: Bacteria; Pseudomonadati; Bacteroidota; Flavobacteriia; Flavobacteriales; Flavobacteriaceae
Rfam family: Bacteroidete tryptophan peptide leader RNA
Source: Rfam